Molecule: long non-coding RNA, 1281 nt
Organism: Hyaena hyaena (striped hyena)
Lineage: Eukaryota; Metazoa; Chordata; Mammalia; Carnivora; Hyaenidae
Exons: 3
Source: RefSeq, a predicted model, not a curated record
ACCGCUCCUGCCCUUUUACGGUCUCACAGUGAGUGAGGCAGCACUAACUCGGACAUCCGCCAUCCGCCUUCCCCGGGCCUGGGACCGGAAACGCGAGGGGGGGCAAGGGGCGGGGCUGGGGGGGGCAGUGGGAGAGGAGAGUCCCCCGGGAAGAGGGUGAGGGAAAAGAGCUUGGCUCCCGAAGGAAGCCCCCUCUCCAGGGCCGACCUUGAAGAGAGGUUGCCACAAUGGGGAUAGGCAGGAGAACUUGAGGGUGUCUGCGGGUUUCCCCUUGCUCCAAAUUUCCCUACAAGCACUUUCACAUGCAGAGGGGACUCUCUGACGGUCAUGAAAAGGAAUGCCACUCUUGAUGUCAGAGGGCAGGGGCGUGGGGGGUGUGGGGGAAGAGAGAGGAUGUGGGCACCAGGGGGUUAAUCCCCAGUGGUCCCGGGGCCUUCCCCCCUUAAGCUGGGGGCUUCGGGGACAGGAAGUCCCCGAGAGAGUGGAGGAAGGGAAACAGUAUUGUCAGGCUCAGGCCCCAAGGGAGAGAUUAUGGGGGGCCAGGGGGAGGGGAGAGUGGAGGAGGGGCUACUUCGGUCCCCCAGCCCACACCGGCUGCGCCCUCAGGUGAGCCCAGGAGUUCUCGGGGAGGCCCAGGUAAGGCAAAAUCCCCAGGUCCUUUGGGCCCCCCACCCCCAGGAUGAAAUUCCUGGGAAGACAGCUGGAACUGUCUUGGAAGCCUGGGUCCCAGGGGGAGAGGGCUAUGACCUUGAAGCUUUACAGCGUCCCCCCUCUCCAACCCAGCAGCUCCGGAUGGCCAGGAAGGGGGGCGGUGGUGAGAGCAGGGGGAGGCGCGUGGUGGGGAAAGCAGCCGGCCCACUGCGCUCCUUGCCCGCCCCCCCACACCAGCUGUCUCGACAGGUCCCAGGGACCCCCAAACCAGCCCCCCCCCAUCCCUGCUGGAGCCCGAGCUGAGAUCGCGGGGUGGUCUGAGCCCUGCCUGAAUCCUGGCCUCCAUGCAGGGAGUAUCUGCCAACUUGGAGGUUCUCUGAAAAAGUCGUGAAGAAAUUCGGGAGUCCUCGGAGCGCCCCCAAAUCUGAGGGCUCCCAGGAGAACCUCACCGGCACCACCCCGAGCCUUAGGAGACAUGACGAAGUGGCUACUUCAGAUCCCCAACGUUCCCCCUUCUCUGCCAAUUUAUGAAGAGUCACUGAGGGGUGAACCCCUUCCCCAGCACAGGAGGGGGGGAUGGGCGUGGAGGGCCCCAUCCCUCUCACCGCCGCCCCCCCCCCGCCCGCCCCA